RNAcentral lists this ribosomal RNA (252 nucleotides) under uncultured prokaryote. RNAcentral's name for it is "partial 16S ribosomal RNA". It matches the Rfam family "Bacterial small subunit ribosomal RNA", at positions 525 to 776 of the family's 1533-position model. The record is from RNAcentral.
ACGAAGGGGGCUAGCGUUGUUCGGAAUUACUGGGCGUAAAGCGCACGUAGGCGGACAUUUAAGUCAGGGGUGAAAUCCCAGAGCUCAACUCUGGAACUGCCUUUGAUACUGGGUGUCUUGAGUAUGGAAGAGGUAAGUGGAAUUCCGAGUGUAGAGGUGAAAUUCGUAGAUAUUCGGAGGAACACCAGUGGCGAAGGCGGCUUACUGGACCACGACUGACGCUGAGGCACGAAAGCGUGGGGAGCAAACAGG